UCCGGUUUAUCACCGGCAGUCUCCUUAAAGUACCCAACUUUACUCGAUGGUAACUAAGGACAAGGGUUGCGCUCGUUACGGGACUUAACCCAACAUCUCACGACACGAGCUGACGACAGCCAUGCAGCACCUGUCUCUAGGUUCCCUCGCGGGCACAUCUCCAUCUCUGAAAACUUCCUAGGAUGUCAAGAGUAGGUAAGGUUCUUCGCGUUGCAUCGAAUUAAACCACAUGCUCCACCGCUUGUACGGGCCCCCGUCAAUUCCUUUGAGUUUUAAUCUUGCGACCGUAUUCCCCAGGCGGAGUACUUAGCGCGUUUGCUUCAACACUCGUAACUCUCGUUACCAACGUCUAGUACUCAUCGUUUACAGCGUGGACUAC
RNAcentral lists this unclassified non-coding RNA (379 nucleotides) under uncultured Gammaproteobacteria bacterium. Its description in RNAcentral is "contains 16S-23S intergenic spacer region". The record is from RNAcentral. Lineage: Bacteria; Pseudomonadati; Pseudomonadota; Gammaproteobacteria.